This 497-nucleotide ribosomal RNA is filed under the name uncultured bacterium. RNAcentral's name for it is "partial 16S ribosomal RNA". It matches the Rfam family "Bacterial small subunit ribosomal RNA", at positions 28 to 507 of the family's 1533-position model. The record is from RNAcentral.
GAUGAACGCUGGCGGCGUGCCUAAUACAUGCAAGUCGAGCGAACAGACGAGGAGCUUGCUCCUCUGACGUUAGCGGCGGACGGGUGAGUAACACGUGGAUAACCUACCUAUAAGACUGGGAUAACUUCGGGAAACCGGAGCUAAUACCGGAUAAUAUAUUGAACCGCAUGGUUCAAUAGUGAAAGACGGUUUUGCUGUCACUUAUAGAUGGAUCCGCGCCGCAUUAGCUAGUUGGUAAGGUAACGGCUUACCAAGGCAACGAUGCGUAGCCGACCUGAGAGGGUGAUCGGGCACAACGGAACUGAGACACGGUCCAGACUCCUAAGGGAGGCAGCAGUAGGGAAUCUUCCGACAUGGGCGAAAGCCUGACGGAGCAACGCCGCGUGAGUGAUGAAGGUCUUCGGAUCGUAAAACUCUGUUAUUAGGGAAGAAAAAAUGUGUAAGUAACUAUGCACGUCUUGACGGUACCUAAUCAGAAAGCCACGGCUAACUACGUG